Molecule: non-coding RNA, 639 nt
Organism: Cajanus cajan (pigeon pea)
Lineage: Eukaryota; Viridiplantae; Streptophyta; Magnoliopsida; Fabales; Fabaceae
Source: RefSeq, a predicted model, not a curated record
UUUUGUGAUUUUGUUUGUAAAGAUUCUUCAUAUCAAGUCGUUUUGUGGUUCUUCCUUAUCUCCUAUGUCAUUAUUGGUUUGUUUUUUAUUUAAAGAUAACUCCACAAUUGCGUGACUUGAAUUAUGGGCGAUAUCCAUUUUCGUUAAUUGGCCCUCGUCUACCAUUUUGAAAUUUUGUUUUUGCAAAGAUUCUUUCUGUUUGGUCGUUUUGCAAUACUCCAUGGCUCAAAAUUUUGUUGUUCUUUAUUAUCUCUUGGGUCAUUAUUGGUUUGUUCUUGAUUUGGAGAUAACACUGCAAUUGCUUGGCUUGAAUCAUGCAUGACAAUACCCUUUUGGCCACCAAUAUCGUUAGACAUCCCCACAACAUAAACCUCUGAGUCUAACGCCCGUAUUUUCCUCUGUGGAAACAAAUUAAAGGCAAUCCUUCAUAUUCGCAGAAAAAACAUAUCCAUGCACUUCUAUUGACGAUUUCGCGUUCAGGCUUUCAAAGUGGCCAACAAAGGCACGAGGACUCAUGCGCAUGAGGUUGAGUCUUGUGGGCCUGUUGAAGUCAAUGCAUAUGUCCUUAAGAAAGAGACCAUAGAAAAACCAUGUUAUGGCACUCAGGGUGAGGAAAAGUGACAAGUAAAAGGGCAUAAA